GACGAACGCUGGCGGCGUGCCUAAUACAUGCAAGUAGAACGCUGAAGGAGGAGCUUGCUUCUCUGGAUGAGUUGCGAACGGGUGAGUAACGCGUAGGUAACCUGCCUGGUAGCGGGGGAUAACUAUUGGAAACGAUAGCUAAUACCGCAUAAGAGUAGAUGUUGCAUGACAUUUGAUUAAAAGGUGCAAUUGCAUCACUACCAGAUGGACCUGCGUUGUAUUAGCUAGUUGGUGGGGUAACGGCUCACCAAGGCGACGAUACAUAGCCGACCUGAGAGGGGGAUCGGCCACCCUGGGACUGAGACACGGCCCAGACUCCUACGGGAGGCAGCAGUAGGGAAUCUUCGGCAAUGGACGGAAGUCUUACCGAGCAACGCCGCGUGAGUGAAGAAGGUUUUCGGAUCGGAAAGCUCUGUUGUAAGAGAAGAAAGAGUGUGAGAGUGGAAAGUUCACACUGUGACGGUAUCUUACCAGAAAGGGACGGCUAACUACGUG
RNAcentral lists this ribosomal RNA (495 nucleotides) under uncultured bacterium. RNAcentral's name for it is "partial 16S ribosomal RNA". It matches the Rfam family "Bacterial small subunit ribosomal RNA", at positions 28 to 507 of the family's 1533-position model. The record is from RNAcentral.